GUUGCUCGGACUCUCCAAAAAUGUUGCCAAACCCGUGUCUGAUCCUUCAAAAAUACAUUAUUUUUGUAGGACACCUAUGGACCUUUUUGAAGAGUUCGAGCAAC
Solanum lycopersicum (tomato) is the source of this 104-nucleotide non-coding RNA. Lineage: Eukaryota; Viridiplantae; Streptophyta; Magnoliopsida; Solanales; Solanaceae. The record is from RefSeq and is marked provisional.